UUGAAUUUUGUGGGCUGUGUUUUGAUUGUGUAGACCGUAUCCAAGAUUCUUAGCUUUGAUACUGUAUCCAGGUUCAGAAUGUGCAUUCAAGCAUGAUUUUAUAUAGCCAUACCCUAUUCCUGAAAUUGACAUAGAUUUAUGACAUAUUCUUUAGAACAGGUAACUUAAAACAUACCCUAUUCUUAAGAUUGAUAUAGAUUUAUGAUAUAUUCUUUAAAACAGGUAACUUAGAAAUAACUGAUAAACAUGCGAAUGUUACUUAGCAUUGCUUAGAUAGAUAAUUUGUGUUAGAAUAGGUGUGGAAUAUGCUAAUGGUUGUCAAGAAUUGUAAUGCAUAUGUAUGUGAUCAAAUUGUAUAAAUAUGGUGUAAACUGAAUCAGUGGCUGAAGCCAGCUUUGGGUGCGAACCCCUGGUUUCCCAGCGCUGAAAUAAAGCACCGCAUAUAACUGCACCUGUGGUUAUGUGUCUUGAAUGCUAACAUUUUUGGCGACCCAGAUGAGACCUCGCGAGCAUUGCUGAGGCGGAUCGCGUCUUGAUCCUGCUCCAGCUAGCACCGAGGUAUUCUUGGGGAGCGCAUCGGACGCGACCGACCCUCUGCUGCUCACGACGGACCUCUGACUGGUAAGAAGGUGCUUUAUCUGGAUUGUUGGGUACCCACUUGGUCUGGUUCUGGUCUGGUAGCCUGCUGGUCAGGCAUCUGGUAGCCUGCCGGUCAGACGCGGCGAAAGCCACGCUCGGUUAGGCAGGGAGCUCCCGUGGUAUUGCCUAGGCAGCCGUCCGUCAGACAGAGGGAAACCUCUGCAGGUUCGGCAUCUGGUCUGGUUAUUUGUGCCGCAGGCUCGGCACCUGGUCUGGUUAUUUGUGCCGCAGGCUCGGCACCUGGUCUGGUUAUUUGUGCUACUCAGCACCUGGUCUGUAGUUCUGGUGAUUUAAUCUGUAUUUACUGUUGAAACCGGUGAUUUGAUCCUGUUUACUGUUGUUCUGGUAAAGUUACUGUGUUAUCUUUCUGUGUUAGUUAUCUGUAUCCUUCUCUGUUGAUAUGUCCAAUUCAAACGUAUCGCCGUCAAAUUGCUUUCUGAAACAUUAGAAGAAGGCUGGGUUUGGACAGUUUAUGCAUAAAAGAAGUGUGAUUGUGAUCUGUUUUCAUAUUUGAACUCGGUAUUCGGUUUGCAUGUCUGAGCUCAGUAUUUUAGUUUGUAUGUUUGUAUUUGGUACCAAAAGGAUUUGUUUGGGGAAAUAAUUACAAAAUAAGAACCGUUUCUGUUACUAAAGUGCCACCUUGCUCCCCCUUCAGAUGCAUCUUUACACAUGAAAGUAAAUUGAGUUAGCUGUAUUGCAGUUAGUGUUGUUUUGUGGAUAGACUGAUUUGGAUUUGGAUCUAAAAUUAAUGUCAGGGAUUGAUGUUUAGUAUGCUGUUUAUUGACAUCUGUAAGAAGUUACAAAAGGCAGGAGCUGAGGGAUGUAACUAUUGUUCAGCUAAUUGGAAUUACAUAUAAAGUUUAUAAUCACAGGAAUUAAAUGAAGAGAGAAAAAGGGCAAAAGGAGCCCAAACCUGUGCCCGGCAGCUUCUCCUUGAUAAGCUGCAGAGAGAAGAAAAAAAAAAAAAAAAAAAAAAAAAAAAAAGAAAAAAAAAAAGGUGAAAAGCUGACUGUCUGCUAAAGCGGUGGGAAAGGGGGGGGGAGCGGCGGCUGCUAAGGCUGAAGCUGCAGCUCCUCUCCUCCGGGCUCGCCGCCCGCGGGGGAUCAUCAAACGUAAUAGCACCCCUGCGGCAGGCAGUAGGUGUUGGGGGGGGGAACCAGUCUAUGUAAAAGUCCCGUUUUCGCCGGGGGAUUUAGUGAUCUGGAAGCAAAAGUGACUAAGGUUGCAAAAGUGAUUAAGAUGAUAAUUAAGACGCAGAAUCCUGAUUGGGAUAAUUUACAAGUCAUUUUAGAUACAUUAAUGGACUCUACAGAAAAUAUGUGGUUAUACAGGUUGCGAGGGAUAAGGUGAGAGAAGAUAUUUGGAAUGGGAAAGUAGAGGCUAACGUUGAUGAGAACUUUCCAAAAGAAGAUCCCCGAUAAUACAGGAGAUACAGACAAUACAGGAGGCGGGUUAAGCCGUCUCCGGAAGUAUCAGGAUUGGUUAUUGAUUGUUGUUCAAACUGCUAUGCCGAAGCAAAUGAAUUGGUCGAAAUUGUAUAAUGUAAGGCAGGAAAGGAAUGAGUCUCCCUCAGCCUUUUUAGAAAGAUUAAAAGAAGCUGCCAAAAGAUAUACGGAUUUAGACGUAGAAACGGAACAAGCAAAAAUUCAGUUGGCUCUAAUUUUCUUAGGGCAAUCUCAAGAUGAUAUUCGAAAGAAGCUGCAGAAAUUAGAGGGUGCACAAUUAAGGGAUCUGGACGUAAUGUUGGAAACAGCUUGGAAAGUUUAUAAUAAUAGAGAAAAAGAACAAUCGAGACGCCACCAGCAAAAUUUGUUGGCUUUGAUCCAGGGACAAGGCAGGGGAAUAGGGGUCCGGGGUAGGGGAGCUGGAAAUAGUCGAGGAGGUGGUCGGGGACGUGGUUCGUGGAGUGCCCGAGGAACUCCCCUGAGACCCCUCAUGAGGCUUGGUAUAAAUCAAUGUGCUUAUUGUAAGCAAGAAGGACACUGGAACAAUGAAUGCCCGGCUAGGAGCCCCGUGGGUCAGAUGUCCGAUGCGACGGGAAAUGCGGUACAGACUAUGGUGUUAGGGGAAUACAGUAACAACAGCUGACUAUAUGAAGGCACGGAAGUGAAAACCCAGAAUAAGGAGCCCUUAGUGACAAUACAAGUGGGAGACCGGGAUGUAAGAUUUUUAGUAGAUACGGGGGCUACUUACUCUGUAUUAAAUUCCUUACAGGGGGCGGUAGGUCACAGAGCUACAACAAUUGUUGGUGCCACAGGGAAGGAGGAAGUACGGCCAUUCCUGCAACCUUUGGAUUUGUGUUUUGGAGAAAAGGAGCUAACCCACGAGUUCUUAUAUGUUCCAGAUUGUCCAGUUUCUCUUUUAGGACGAGAUUUGCUGACCAAAUUAGAUGCCACAAUAACAUUUGAGGAUGGAAAUUUGGUAAUGAAAGUUCCGGAGUCAAAGGUAGGACAAAUUUUACUAUUAAAGGAAAAUCCAAUUGUGAAAAUACCACAGGCAAUAGAGGAUGCAGUGAUUCCCACGGUAUGGGAAACUGACAUACCUGGGAAGUCAAAGGCAGCUAAACCUGUGAAAGUAGAGCUGAAGGAAGGUGCUGAACCGGUACGAUUAAGACAGUACCCAUUGAAAUUGGAAGCCAGAUUAGGAAUAGUAUCUUUAAUUGAGAAAUUUUUGAAAUAUGGAAUUCUAGAAGAAUGUGAAUCAGAAUACAAUACUCCAAUUUUUCCAGUAAAGAAACCUGAUGGUAGCUAUCGACUAGUCCAAGACUUAUGAGCAAUAAACCAGAUCACUAAGGACAUACAUCCAGUAGCUGCAAAUCCGUAUACCUUGUUAACAUCUGUGAAAGAGAAAUAUAAAUGGUUUACAGUACUUGAUUUAAAAGAUGCCUUCUUCUGCAUACCCCUUGACCAGGAAAGCAAAAGCUAUUCGCUUUUGAAUGGGAGAACACACACAACGGGAGAAAAGCCCAAUUAACCUGGACACGCCUUCCACAAGGAUUUAAGAAUAGUCCAACUAUCUUCGGAAAUCAACUAGCCAAAGAACCUGAGGAGUGGGCUACGAGAGGCUAUAUCGGAAUUCCUCGACAAUGGUAUUUGUUGCUGCAAUAUGUGGAUGAUAUUCUGAUUGCUGCUGAGACCCAAGAACUUUGCAUUCAGGAAUGGCAGGAUGGUGCAGGCUCUGGAUCAUGGACUAUGGACUUAUUGCCAAACCUUUAUACGAGGCACAGAAGAAUAAGACCUUGGUGUGGGAAAGACCACAACAAGAAGCUUUCCAAAAAUUGAAACAGGCCUUAAUGCAAGCGCCUGCUUUGGGCCUACCUGACCUGAGUAAAGACUUUCAGUUGUUUGUACAUGAAUGACAGAGACUUGCUCUAGGGGUAUUAACCCAACGGCUGGGAUCUUGGAAAAGGCCCGUCAGUUAUUUCUCUAAACAACUUGACCCGGUAAGUGCUGGAUGGCCGGCGUGCUUGCGGGCGGUGGCUGCUACCGUGACAUUAAUUCAGGAAGUCCGGAAACUGACUAUGGGGAAAAGGAUCGAAGUGUUUGUAUCCCAUAUGGUGACUACUGUAUUGGAACAAAAGGGGGGCCAUUGGCUUUCCCCAAGUAGGAUGAUGAAAUAUCAGGCAAUUUUAACAGAGCAGGAUGAUGUUAUCCUAAAAACAACUAACCUAAUGAAUCCAGCUGUGUUUUUAAGCGCAGAGACUGAAGAAGAAAAUCUGGAACAUAAUUGUGUGGAGGUCAUUGAAUAUACCCACGCAAGUCGACCUGACCUGAAAGAUACCCCAUUGGAGAAGACGGAUUGGGAGCUUUUUACUGACGGCAGUAGUUUUGUGGAAAGCGGAGUGCGGUAUGCAGGAUACGCGAUUACUACUGCCAAAACAGUAAUUGAAGCUAAAUCCCUACCACCAAACACAUCAGCACAGAAAGCUGAGUUGAUAGCCCUAACUAGGGCAUUAGAGCUCAGUGAGGACAAAAGGGUCAAUGUUUGGACUGACUCAAAAUAUGCAUUCAGGGUUGUUCAUGUACAUGGAGCUCUUUGGAAAGAGCGUGGACUACUCUCCUCCCAAGGAACAAACAUCAAGUACCAAAAAGAAAUAUUGAACUUGAUUAAUGCCGUUCAAAAGCCAUCACUAGUUGCCAUCAUGCACUGUAAAGCUCAUCAGAGUGGGACAUCAACAAUUAUUGAAGGAAACCGACUUGCUGAUCAAACAGCCUGAUCAGUGGCACGACGAGUCUGGAUGAUGGUGGGUCAUGUCUCCCAAAAGGUAAGAGCAAUUGAUUUAUUACCUACACCUUCAGAGGCACCUGAAUAUUCUACAGAAGAUGAGAAAUUGGCAAGACUAGUAAAAGCCGUCAAGGAUAAUUCUGGAUGGUAUGUAACCACCAACGGACAAAUUGUGGUCCCGAUCACAAUUAUGAGAGGGAUACUUCAGGCGGAGCACCAGAAGUGUCAUUGGGGUGCAGAAGCAUUGGUAACUUAUCUAAGAAAACAAAUUAUCUCGGUCCAGAUGUUAACAAUGGCAAAAUCUUUCACAGCUAAGUGUGAAAUUUGCUUGAGAAAUAAGCCUUUAGUUCGAAGAAAAGUAGAUAUGGGAAAAAUUAGGACAGGUGUACAACCAGGGGAUUGUUGGCAGAUAGAUUAUGUGGAACUCCCCAAAACUCGAGGAUUCAGAUAUCUGCUAGUUGAGGUAUGCACCUUUUCAGGAUGGCCAGAAGCCUUCCCUUGUCGCACCAACCAGGCACAAGAAACUGUAAAAUGGUUACUGAAGGAAAUAAUUCCUAGAUUUGGAGUACCAUUGGGAAUAUCAUCUGAUAGGGGACCGCAUUUUGUUGCUCAAGUGGUAAAGGAAGUCAGUAGAUGUUUGGGAAUUAAAUGGGAAUUACAUACCCCAUGGAGACCCCAGUCUAGUGGCCAGGUGGAGAAAAUGAAUCAGACGUUAAAACGACAACUUAGCAAAAUUUGCCAGGAAGCAAAAAUUCAGUGGCCCCAGGCCUUACCAAUAGCGUUAUUGCGAAUUAGGAUUAAACCUAGGAGUGGAAUGUCCGUAAGCCCAUACGAAAUUCUGUAUGGCAGACCAUAUGAAGCACCUGAUCCGAAUCCAAGUGUACAUGUAAAAGGUAAUCAGGAUGUGUACAAUUAUGUGUUGUCUCUCGGCAGGACAUUGAAUCGACUCAGAUCUGUACUAGUGUGGAAUCGCCCACUAGCACUUGAGAAUCCGGUACAUGAUAUAGAACCUGGAGACACAGUGUAUAUAAAGACUUGGAGAGAAGAUCCUUUAAAAGAACGUUGGGACGGACCUUAUCAAGUACUUUUAACUACAUUUACCGCAAUCAAGGUUGCUGAAAUAGACUCCUGGAUACAUUACACCCGAGUGAAGAAAGUCCCAAAACUGUGGCAAUCACGAUUAGUGGGUCCAACCACACUUAAAAUCACAACGCAGGAUGUCUAACUUUUGUUACCGUUUUGUUUUUAUAGUAGUUUAUGUACCCAGACUGUAUGCCACACUGAUUUGCAAAGUCACUGGAGAACAAUUAUGUAAAACACGAAGGGCUAUAGGAGAUAGUGACGAUACUCAAAUGCCACAAGUAGUACAGAGUGUACAGAAUCAGGCAGAGAAUCUGAUGAUAGGACUAAUUCGAGAUUUUGCACAAACCCAAAAUGUCAGUAGCAUCACUGCUUGUCUUCCCAUCCCGAAAUCAGCUGAAGAUCCGGUACAGUGGGGAAUAAUAUCUACGACCUUACCAGAAGUAAAUAAGACUGGUAAGAUAGUGUGUGAGUCCCAUACUAAAAUAGAGCAAGUACCAAUUGAACAACGGACAAAAGAGCUUGUUAAGAAUGCCAUGAUAAAAAGAGGUGACUGCUUAAAGUUGCCAGGAGCAGAAUUUGUAAAGAUAUGAUGAUUUCAUAAUAUUGGGUAUUGCACGUAUGAAAAGUGGACCACCAAAACAGUAUAUGAAAAGGUUGAGCGAGCCUAUUGGGAAUGUAAAGAUCAGGAUAAUCAGAACAUAACUGAAUCAUGGGAUAACAUGUGGACGUUGAGUAUAGUACAGCAAUAUCAAUAUAGCGAAGCAUUUCCAUGGUGUAUACGAUUGACCAAUGUAACAAGAGGAGUAACAGUACCGUGGUGGAAUUGCUCUCAAGUAAUGACCUGCCAGACAGAUGUGAAAGAAAUACCUCUGUCCAUCAUUAAAGUUGCAGUAAUCGCAGGUUGCAUUUGUCAGAAACAAUUGGAUCCAAAGGAAGCAAUCAAAAUAGGCAUUGAUGGAGAUAAGAUAGAUUGUAGAGGAACUAUAGGUAGUGUGGGACAUUUGGUUUGGGCCUUAAGUGAUGGAACCUGGACAACACAUUUACCGAUAGCAGGACCAGUAAGGGAGGUUACUUUGGGGUUACCAACCCUAUGUCCCAUUUGGAAAAGGUCACCCUUGAAGAAUAGGCAAGAACUCCUACAAGUUAGGUACAAACGAGAGAUAGAUGAAGAUGAUGUGUGGCAUGAACCAUUGGGUAGUGUUAAAUUCGGCUGGGCAUUAGAAUCUUUCUUUGCACCAAUCGCAGCCUAUAGAAACAGAGAAAUGAUUGACAGAUUAAUUGGACAGAUGGAUCGAUUGGCAAGGGUAACCAAAAAGGGUUUUCGAGAAUUCAAUAUACAAUUGCAAGCUACGACCAAAAUGACUUUGCAGAACAGAAUGGCACUUGACAUAAUGUUGCUAAAAGAAAAUGGGGUUUGUGGAUAUUUAAAAGAUAGGGUUGAUCAUUGCUGCAUUCAUAUCCCAAACGUAACCUCUGAAGUGGAAAAAGAUAUUUCCCAAUUAACCCAAACAGAAAAAGAACUGCAAGCGGAAAAACAAGAUGUAGAGCAGAGCUGGGUUGGGGCCUUGCUAGGCAAAUUGAACCUGAACCUGGGAGGAUGGGUACAUUAGUUAUUGGAGAGUUUAUUUUUGCUUGCCAUUAUAGUUGCUCUUUUCUUUUUGCUUUAUGCUUGUAUUAAGCAUCAAAUAAGUCAAUCAAAGGCAAGGAACGACCGCAUCUUUACUGUCCUUAGCAGAUCCACUUUUGACAACCCUCCAGCUUAUAAGGAAAAUAUAAUGUAGUGAAAAUGCAUUGUCUAGGAAUAGAAAAGCAUUUUCAAAGGGGGGAAAUGUUAUAGUUGAAUUGAAUUUUGUGGGCUGUGUUUUGAUUGUGUAGACCGUAUCCAAGAUUCUUAGCUUUGAUACUGUAUCCAGGUUCAGAAUGUGCAUUCAAGCAUGAUUUUAUAUAACCAUACCCUAUUCCUGAAAUUGACAUAGAUUUAUGACAUAUUCUUUAGAACAGGUAACUUAAAACAUACCCUAUUCUUAAGAUUGAUAUAGAUUUAUGAUAUAUUCUUUAAAACAGGUAACUUAGAAAUAACUGAUAAACAUGCGAAUGUUACUUAGCAUUGCUUAGAUAGAUAAUUUGUGUUAGAAUAGGUGUGGAAUAUGCUAAUGGUUGUCAAGAAUUGUAAUGCAUAUGUAUGUGAUCAAAUUGUAUAAAUAUGGUGUAAACUGAAUCAGUGGCUGAAGCCAGCUUUGGGUGCGAACCCCUGGUUUCCCAGCGCUGAAAUAAAGCACCGCAUAUAACUGCACCUGUGGUUAUGUGUCUUGAAUGCUAACAAGGUAAGUGGGAAGCUUUGUCUGCUCAGAGCAGGAGAUUGGUCCAGGUGACCUCCUCAGGUCCCUUCUAACUAUCAUUAUUUGGAAGAGCAUGGAGUCUCAAGAGCCCUUGAGCAGCAAACGAAUGGAAAUGCCUUGAAAAUGGCAGCAACACAGGGCUGCAUAGAAGUACCAGCUGAUGCAGGAAUGAUGUUAAAAGGUGUGGAAAUUUCUUUGAGGAAAGCAGAACUUUCAGAGGAAUGAAGCUAUGACUCUGGUAUCUCUGACAUGCCUGAGGCUGGGGCACUUUGCCCACUGGAAUCCACAGCAUGAUGACUCACAUUUCCCUGGAGCUCAGGGUUUUUCCCAACUCUUUCACAUCAUGAUGACUCCCAGGUGCCCUGUGAGACUGAUCCAAUGUCCCUUUGUAGUCUGAAAUGUAUGGAAUGGGUCACCCUAUCUGUCACCAAGAAAAAAGGCCAUGAGUUUUUGGUUCCUUGCCCUUCGUCUCUCCUUAAAAUCAGGCCAUGCAGGCCUCUAGCCUCCGGGAUGAAAUUACUGAGCAAAACAGGUCAAUUUGGAUGUGCAUCUCUUUCAGAGGUGAAUGCGGGCAUGUCUUUGAGCAUCCUCUUAUGCGCUGAUAUGCUUGUUUCCAGCAGGUUCUCCACUUCUGAAGCUCAACCCAGACCCCUGGUUGGAAGAAACAUGAGGGCCUGGGCCAGUCAUCAGGGGGCAUAGCUGUGAAGAUCCCAUGGAGAGGUUACUUGAAAGAGACUUGCCUCACCCCUUCGUCUGCCCUUCAUCAUUAUGAAUCUGCCUUUGUUCCCUGGGCUCAUGGGAAGAAUAAACAGGCUGUGGCAGAGCCUGAUAAGCAUAUUUGAGGACCUUGUGGUCCUCAGUCCUGAUUGCAAGUGACUUCCCUCCAGCCCACAACGAUCCUUCUCUGCCACUGAGCUUUGCCACAUCCCUGGAGAAGUGGGUCUAUGCAGACUUGAACCUUCCUGCUCUCUCCUGUGUGUCUAUGGUGACCCACUGAAGAAAGUAUCACACUCACAAGGCCCUCAUCCUGAUAGAGAACUUCAACCACCCAGAUAUCUGGUGCCAAAGCAGCACAGCAAACUGCAAGCAGUCCAGGAAACUACUCAAUCUAUUGAGGACAACUUAUUGUUACCAAUGAUGGAGAGUUCAUCCAGAGGAGAGGCACUGCUUGACACAUUCUGGGGAGAUUAUACGGAAAAAGCCCAGAACUGCAAGGAGGGGAUCAGGAAACCAAGGACACUAUCUUCAUGAGGGACAUGAAAAAUUACAAAAUGGGUUUCUUCAGGUACAUAGGACAACAAGGGUAGAUGAAAGAUACUGUACUCUCCUGAUGAGUGAAAGGGGAUACCUGGCUAUAUCUGACAUGGAGAUGACAUGGAGUGGAGGCGCUAAACAACUUUUUCACUCCAUCUUAACCACACAUGCUUUAGUCAUGAUACAUAGUUCAAAGAAUGCAAAGGCAUGGGCUGCAAGAAUGAAGUAUCAAUAAUAGCAAUAACUGAAAUGAAAAAAUAAAUAUUUUUUAAUAACCACAUAAGAACAAACAAAAACUGAAGAAACAAACCAAACACACAAAAAAACCACCAUACCAAAUCCACAUUUCAGCAUCAGUGGAUAAUAGAAGAGUGUUCGAGGUCAUCUACUUGUCUGGAACAUUUAUUACUGUUCCACACAGCAUCCUUGAUUCUAUAAUGGAGAGGCAUGGAUUUGACAGGUGGACCACUCGUUAUAUAAGGACUUGUCUGGAUGGUCACACUCAAAGAGUUGCCGUCAAUGUCUAGAAGUCCAGGUGGAGACCCGUGAUGAGUUGUGUCACUCAGGGGUUUGUAUUGGUACUUGUAUUAUUCAACAUAUUUGUCGGGGACAUGGACAGUGAGAUCCACAGUGAGUUUCAUGAUGAAACCAAGUUGAGUGAUGUGCUUGGUACACCGGAGAAAAGGGAUGUGAUCCAGAGGGAUGUUGAAAGAAUAGAGAGAAGGGUUGUGUAACUGACAUAAAAUUCAAGAAGGCCAAGUGUAAGGUCCUGCACCUGGGUAAGUGGAAUUAAAAAAAAACGAGUACAAGCUGAUCCAUGAUGGGAUAGAGAGCAGCCAUAUGGAGUAAGAAAUUUCAGGUAAAGAGGUAAGGGCAUCAUCACCACAAAAACUUUGGAAUGCAAUAACUACUAGGUGAUCAGAUGCUUCAUGAGUAAGGAAUGUUUGUGGCCCCACGGGGCUCUGAGACACAGCACAAGAGCCUGGGCUGCUCCAGGCUCUGCAUCCUCCUCUCUUGCCUCCCUUUACUCCAGGAACGAGGUAAGCCUCUGUGCAGUCCAUCUCUCGCCAUGGGCUGAACUGCUGUCAUGGUGGCUACUCAGGUGGAUCCUUGGGCUUCCUCAAUGUGCACAGAAACAGAACUGUUGAAGGGCUGUCACCUCUUUCCCUUUUGAUGGGACUUUCUGGGGAGAGCUGGAAAGAGGGGGAUUCUUUCAAGCACAAGAGGAUGAAUGGGGCUCAGCUGCAGGGAGGUCUGUUUAGCAAAAUUUCUGCUUUAGACAGAUGGUCUCUAACCAAAUGGACAAGUGCAUCCAGUGCCUCCUUCCAUGCUCUCCACAGGCUCUCCACAGGGGCUUUAAAUCCACUCAGCUGGGUCCUGUCUCAAAAGUGGUUCUGGACCAUGCAACUCAGAGAGCACAGUGAGGGCCAUGGCAGCUCUGUGCACACUGUGUGUUCUCAAGAGCUGAUUUCUGAGACACUUGUUCCACGCAGCCUAUUUGUGCUGGAAUAGUUGCAUCAAUCUUCAUCUGGGCUUUUGCACUGGGUAAUGUAUGAGGAGGUCCUUGUGACAUCAACAAUCAGUUAGGCACUUCUUUGGUCCUAGGCAUUCAAAUCUAGCUCUAAGCUGAGAUGUCACACCUGUUGUACCUGUCAGCAAGAUCAAUUUCAGGCCCUUCCUAGUCAUGGACCUCCAAAUGGAGAUGGAAGCCAAUAAAGUGUAUCUGCAGAGAGAAAUGAGGACAAGAAAGACAGACUGAAGUUGGGGUUCUUUGUUGCCUCUAUGCUCUGUGUUUCAGCUUUACCUCAGUCACCGAGAGAUGUCUUGCUUCAGACCGUGUAUCCCACCACCUUGUGGUUCCUCUGGCCCAACCCCACUUGCAAGCAGCUGCAGUGAGCCCUGUGUCGCCCGCUGUGGUGACUCGACGGUGGCCAUUGAGGCCUCUCCAGUGGUGGUGACCCUGCCAGGCCCCAUCCUCAUUUCUUUCCCUCAGAACACAGUUGUGGGAUCCUCUCUGUCAGCUGCUGUUGGGAGCUCCCUCAGCACUGGGGGGGUUCCCAUCUCUUCUGGGGGCUCCCUUGGUCUGGGGGGGUCAGGGCUGUGCCUGCCUCCCCCCCACUGCCGUCUGAACUGCUGAACCUGGUGCAUUGUCCCUUCUGGAGCAGGAAGAAUGAUGGGGACUGCACAGCAGGAGUGUGGCCAGGCCUUGCAGAUGGGCUGGGUGUCCUCAUGCCAGCUGGCAGGAGAGACCUGUGCCCACGGCUUCUGGCUGCACGUCAGGCCUCCCUGUGCCUCCUCUGGCUCUGCUUUGCUCUGAGCUCCUUGAGAAAGGGCUCGUUCUCUUCUGCUUUGCUGAACCUCCUGGUGCUGGGGGAGGGUGCUGGAGUUAGGGACUGCUCUUGCUGGUCUGGGAUGGCCAGCAGGUGGAGCAGAAUGGGGAAAGGCAAGUGCUUUGUGUUUCAAGCUUGUCCUUGGGCAAUGGGCUGUUCUCUGUCUUGCCCUGAACCCUGCAGAUGUGUUUCUUUGUCUCUGUUCUGUGCUAUUGCAUAUGCUCCUUCACUUUGUGCACAACAUUUAAUACUGCCCAACACAGCAUUCUAUUCUCUGAAAUGGAGAAACAAGAAUUUGAGAUGUGUACCACUCGUAUAAUAAUUGGCAGGACGGUCACACUCACAGAGUUGUGGUCAAUGUCUUGAGGUCCAGGUGGAGACCCGUGAUGAAUGGUGUCCCUCAGAGGUCCAUAUUUGAAUCAGUAUAUUUUAACACCUUUGUUGGGGAAAUGGACAGUGGGAAUGAGUGCACCCUCAACUGAGAUUGCGGUUGACACCAAGCUGAGUGAUACCAUGCAGAGGGACCUUGGCAGGCUAGAGUGGUGGGGUGUGCAAGGAUUAUUAAGUUCAACAAGGCCAAGUGCAAGGUCCUAACCCUGGGUCAGGACAAUCCCAAACAUGGAUACGGGCUGGGCCAUGAUGGGUUUGGGGCAACCCUGAAGAGGAGGACUUAGUAGUGCUGGUGGAUGAAAAAAACAGACACAAGCUGCCAUUGUGUUCUUGACGUCCAGAAAGCCAGUUUUAUCGUGGGCUGUGUCAGCAGCAGUGUGACCAGAAGGUCAAUGGAGGUGAUUGUCCCCCUGUACUCCACUUUCUCCGCUUUUGUGAGACCCCACUUUGAGUAACAGACCUACUUGAGUGGCUCCAAGGAGAACACAAAGAUUAUCAGGGGCCUGGAGCAGUUCUGCUAUGAGUAUAGGGUGAGAGAUUAAUGGCCGAGGAGAGGACAUGAGGAUAAAGAGGGGGGAGGAGAGGUGCAGAGAGGAGAGGAGAGGAGUUAAAUUUGGGAAGGAAUAUGGGAUCUAAUAUGCUACCCUAUAACUAACACCAGCCUUGGUUGUCUCCACAAUGUUGCCUAGUCUUCUUCCCUGGAAGCAGCCAAGAUGCUAUCUGGGAUGUGAAGUCAGCAUCAUCAUGGUGGUACAGAAAACUAAGCAAAAUACUCCAUAACACUGUUUCAAAGUGUUAAAAAUCAGGUAUUUUAUUGCAGUGCACCCGCUGCUCCAAGGAUUGUUCCUCUAAUCGAGCUCACCUGCAGGACUCACGCCUCUUGGUAUUAAUUGCACACAUUAAUUGCAUAUUCAUUUGUUUCUACCGCUAAGCUAAUAUAUUAAAUGUAGAUUAUUUACAUCAUCAA
Columba livia (rock pigeon) is the source of this 13226-nucleotide long non-coding RNA. RefSeq lists it as uncharacterized. The record is from RefSeq and is a predicted model, not a curated record. The transcript is spliced from 2 exons. NCBI's taxonomy places the organism in Eukaryota, Metazoa, Chordata, Aves, Columbiformes, Columbidae.